This 440-nucleotide ribosomal RNA is filed under the name uncultured bacterium. RNAcentral's name for it is "partial 16S ribosomal RNA". It matches the Rfam family "Bacterial small subunit ribosomal RNA", at positions 338 to 795 of the family's 1533-position model. The record is from RNAcentral.
CCUACGGGCGGCAGCAGUGGGGAAUAUUGCACAAUGGGGGAAACCCUGAUGCAGCGACGCCGCGUGAGUGAAGAAGUAUUUCGGUAUGUAAAGCUCUAUCAGCAGGGAAGAAAAUGACUGUACCUGACUAAGAAGCCCCGGCUAACUACGUGCCAGCAGCCGCGGUAAUACGUAGGGGGCAAGCGUUAUCCGGAUUUACUGGGCGUAAAGGGAGCGUAGUCGGAGGAACAAGUCAGAAGUGAAAACCCGGGGCUCAACCGUGGGAGUGCUUUUGAAACUGUUUGGCUGGAGUUCAGGAGAGGUAGGCGGAAUUCCUAGUGUAGCGGUGAAAUGCGUAGAUAUUAGGAAGAACACCAGUGGCGAAGGCAGCUUACUGGACUGUAACUGACGUUGAGGCUCGAAAGCGUGGGGAGCAAACAGGAUUAGAUACCCCGGUAGUC